RNAcentral lists this long non-coding RNA (3477 nucleotides) under Pelobates cultripes (western spadefoot toad). Lineage: Eukaryota; Metazoa; Chordata; Amphibia; Anura; Pelobatidae. The record is from RNAcentral.
AGAUUACAUUAAUUUACAUAAUCAAAACCAUUAUAGCUACAGGGAUUUCAGUCCUUUUGUUUAAUAUCUGCUUUGUCAUUGGACAUGUGUAAUACAAUUUCACUUAAAACAUUAUCAUCAUGUUGCAGAAGUAACAGAUAUUUCAGAUUUUAAAAUGAACAGUUCUGGAUUAUUCGCCAAUCUACGGCAGGCUUAGAGCUGGCUUGACAAAGUACUGUGCCAUAAUAAAUAUUAUGUAUUUUUGUUGUUGUUAGAAGCCUUCACUCCUACUCCCAGCAAACUUCAGAGAGCAUUGCUGAUCAUCAUUGUUUGCCACACUAUUAUUGCAAUUUGCUGUUAGUCCUUUACCAGAGAAACUUCAAUCUUGGUAUAAAGAAUACAACCAGUGCAAUGAAUGCACCACAGGAGAACACUGAGAUAUUAAGAAAUAUUAGAUUACUUCACCCCUUAUUUUUUCUUUUAAAUCAAUACAAAUUUAUUAAAACACCUUUCUUCUAACACCAGAACAGACCCAUAGCUGUAGCCUAUCCUCCUCCUGUGAAGUCGGUGAUUCUGAUUACUUUUAUCCAAUCAGACGCUUCUCACAGUGACAAAUUGAGGACUUGUGCCAAUUGUCGCAAUCCAUUAAUCAGUGCUUCUCAUAGAGAAGCCUUUAUUCCAAAGCAUUAGACGUGUUCAGUGUCAUCAUGCUGUGGGACCAUAACGGGCAUGUUUUCAUACAAAUGUUCUUAGAAACAACACUGUUUUACUUUGCACCAAAAGCCACUACAUUAGGAUGUAGUGGUUUUGGUGCUUAGAGUGUCUUUUAAAUACAAUAUUUUUUUUAAUUUUCAUGUUGUGGGCAAGGAUUUAAAUUCAUGGUUACAACUAUAUAAUUGUGAUUGCAAAAUUCUUGUCUAUGACAAAUGAAAUAUAGAAUAAUUAUGUCUAUCUUAAAGUGUUUCUCCGUAAACUAUUGUUUGUGCUGCUUCUGGAAACAAAAUCAGUAUAGAUAAGAUACAUAAAAUCUGCUCUACAGAAAGGUUGCCAAGAAACCCAAGUUAUCUCUGCAGGCAGUUAAUGUGUUGUCUGUGAUACAGUUGCCAAUAGUAACAUGAUGGUAAAUCCAGCAGCCAAUAGGAGUGUGAGGAUGAUUGAUGUAUAUCUUAGGAAGCUUUUAGAGCUUCAGUGGAUUCUUACAGCUGACCCUUUUCCAAUUAAAACAUAUUGCAUUAGCUUGUUGUUGAAGUGGAUAAGAAUAACUAAGAAAAACAUGCAAUAUGUGUUUGUUAAAUUGGUUUUCUUUUUCUAGAAAAAUGCUAAUGGAUACUAUAUUAUUUGUUUCCUCUUAAAUAAAGCAAAUGAAAAAAUGUUGCAUGUUGCAGAAUUACUAGAACAUAAAGUAUUACUUUGCUAUAGUCCAUAAAUCAUCCUUUAAGACUCAGUUUGUUCAUUUACAGUUCAAUAAACCCAUGUAUUGAGCAUCAUGGUUUAAAGUAACUUAAUAUGUAUAUUUUAACUAUGUGUUGAAUACCUGCUUAAUUAUUAACUCUUUUAGGUUUCCGGUAAUCUGUGAUUGUUCUUUUCUACAAGGAUGAGAACAUCUUUUGUAUGAUUACAAGUUACCUAUUGUUUGUGAUUUCUGGUAAAUCACCGACAUUUGUAAAAAAUAUAUUUGGUUUAAAAUGGGACUAUUGCUCUUAAUCUCAUUUAUGUGUUUAAGUUUGCCAAAACAGAUCAGCUUGCACCAUAUGAAAAGGAGGGAUUAUCAUUUUUGUCUUGUGACUAGUGGUUAAAGGAGAACUCUGUUCUGGACCCUGGUGAAAUAAGAUAGGCAAUAACUAUUUCAAAAAACAUAGUAUACAGAUAGAAAAACAAAAGUACAAGCUAUAAAACAUUCUGAUAACUAACUUGUGGUGCUGUAAACUGCAUUGGUGACAGGUCUACCUGAAAUCAUGUCAUAUAUAGGAUUGAAGAAAAAGAAACCACUGUAGACACAUUUGAUUAUAGUCUUCCAAUCAGUUAUUCUGUACAAAAUUUUGUGUCUAUUGUUUUGCACCUCUUCUGGUUUAUAUGUUUCCCUAAUAUGUGUAAUACAUAACAUUUUCUCUCUGAAAAGUUAAAUAUGACUCUGAAAGAAAAGAUGCACUCUUUGUGGCUCAAUAUUCUGGUUCCCCCAUAUUCUAUACAAGUAUGAAUGUAUUUUCUAUUAUAUGAAUUGUUGAAGUUAGACUAGUAUCCACAACUUAUAACACUGCUGGCAAAAUCAUCUCCACAUUUUUAGCUUAAAGGAAUACUCUAAGGAUCAUAACCACUACUGCUUAAUUUAGUGGCUAUUGCUCCAGAAGUGUAUUGGUCUUGUCACAUGGUACAUAGAAACAUAGAAACAUAGAAUGUGACGGCAGAUAAGAACCAUUCGGCCCAUCUAGUCUGCCCAAUUUUCUAAAAACUUUCAUUAGUCCCUAGCCUUAUCUUAUAGUUAGGAUAGCCUUAUGCCUAUCCCAUGCAUGCUUAAACUCCUUUACUGUGUUAACCUCUACCACUUCAGCUGGAAGGCUAUUCCAUGCAUCCACUACCCUCUCAGUAAAGUAAUACUUCCUGAUAUUAUUUUUAAACCUUUGUCCCUCUAAUUUAAGACUAUGUCCUCUUGUUGUGGUAGUUUUUCUUCUUUUAAAUAUAGUCUCCUCCUUUACUGUGUUGAUUCCCUUUAUAUAUUUAAAUGUUUCUAUCAUAUCCCCCCUGUACGAUGACAGACCAUUUUAUCACACAGGUUUAUUUGCUAAAUUGUUCAUUCGAAGUGAGCUGAAAGUGAAUUUCAAAUUUAAGAUCAAAAUAGCUGAAUUGGAAAAUGUCUCUAUAUCAGCUCUGCUUUCACUUCAGCAACUCUAGCCUUACAUUUGAAAUAUGUGCAUCAGCUCUUCCCCCCCAAGCAGCUAUGAGUGACGUCACCAGAGAAGGAUCAGGAUGCAGGGAGAACUUUGUCUCAGCACUGGAACAGAAGUAAGUUUAUGCUUUUUAAAAAAAACUAAACAAAAAAACUUUGAACGGGAAAAACCAGGAUAGGAAGGGUUACUCUAACUAAAACAAAUUUUUUUCAUAAAGAAAAUGUUUUUUUCGUUGAAUGGUUGGAGUAAAUGGACCUUUAAUAAUCUCCAAACGCCAUUUACUAAUUUUCUUUAUAUCUUCGCACAAUAACAAAGAAAACAGCAUUCAACAUUACCAGAGUUAUUCACUAAAGUGAGAAUUGAAUGUGGAUUUCAAACGUAAGGCCAAAGUAGCUGAAUUGGAAACACAGUUGAGUCAGUGGCAAAGCUGGAGGGGGAGGUCCGCCCCAUACAGCAAUUUACAGGACUGAGCCGAACAUGCUCCAGAGCUGUUGGGCUGGAUGGAAGUGCUGACCACGCUGCAUGAAUUGACUGGCAGGAGAGGAGCGAUGUGCAUUCCCCUCCUGCCAGUCAUUUGGACAUUGUGUACCUCAGGUGGUGUGCCCUAAUGCCC